CCGCGAGCAUUGCCCAAGGAAACCAACUCGUGGCGCGGCGACCGACGGACGGGUCACUGGGCGCCGGGGCCCACGUCCUUCUUUGCGGCCCUGUUCUUCUUGGCCGCGCCGGCGGAGGAGGAGGCAGCGCCCGACGACGACGGGGCGAAGAGGCGGUCGAUGCCCAAGGCGGCGGCGGACUUGCGGGAGCCGCGGAGCGAGCAGACGGGCACGUUGAGCACGGGCGCCACGCGCACGUGCGCCGAGUACGACCGCUCCAUGGCGCCCGCGCUGCCGCUGCGGUGGCGCCGCCCGCCGGCCAGGCUGCUCGGGCUGCUGGAGCUGCGCCCGAGCCCGUUGAACACCAC
Molecule: unclassified non-coding RNA, 347 nt
Filed under: Zea mays
Lineage: Eukaryota; Viridiplantae; Streptophyta; Magnoliopsida; Poales; Poaceae
Description: misc RNA Zm00001eb135890
Source: RNAcentral